Esox lucius (northern pike) is the source of this 3216-nucleotide RNA transcript. RefSeq lists it as uncharacterized. The record is from RefSeq and is a predicted model, not a curated record. NCBI's taxonomy places the organism in Eukaryota, Metazoa, Chordata, Actinopteri, Esociformes, Esocidae. The transcript is spliced from 15 exons.
UCACCAAAAGCAUCAGGACAGAGUUACAGCAUCACUAACUUCACAUCUGAGGACAGUGGAGAAUAUUACUGUGAGGCUGUGAAUGUAAGAGGAUCUAUGAAUUCUACAGUUCUGAUGAUCAUUGUGGCAGGAAAAUCCUCAGCUCUGACUACAUCUGUAGGAAUCACAGUGGUUGUUCUGGUUCUCAUCCUCUGUCUCUUUGGAUUCAUCUGGUUCAGGAAGUCUCCCAAAUCCACCUCUGAUCCAAGAAACUCAGAAGAGAAUAGACUGAGAGACUCCAGUCUGGUGUACCACAACGUGUCAGGAAUGGUCACCAUGAGCCCAGACUCAGACAACCAGGAAGACCAGGUCUACACCAACGUCCCCCUCUCUUACCCCCACCACCAGGAAGAGGCUCUGUACUCCACCGUCCAGAUGCCUCCACCCCAGAAUCAGGACACCAGCCUGAUGUACACUGUUGUGAAAUUCAACAGCGCCAGUGGUUCCACCCAACCAGCAGCACCAAUGACAGAAGAGGAUCCCUCUGUGAUCUACAGCACAGUGAAGAAACCCAGAACGUGACGACCUGAACACAACAACAUCUGAAGUCAAUAUGACCAGAAAUCAACAAAACAACACGUUUGACAAAAGACACAUCUGGAGUUUGGACGGGAAACAGACAUCAGUUCUGACUGCAUCUCUACUGGUUCUCAUCCUCUGUCUCUCUGGAUUCAUCUGAUUCAGAAAAAGAAAGAGGAAGUCCAGUAUGCAGCUGUGAAAUUCAACUGUCCCAGUGCUGCCACCCGAAGCGCUAGCAACUUGACUGACUGAUGUGCCACAAGACCUCUUCAGAUCAUAAUGGACGGAGAUACAACAAUGUCCUUGAGAUCAACUAGUGUGUUGGUGGUCUUUCUCUUCACUGUAACAGUGGUACUGUGUCAGGAUAACUGGGGUGUGACCUACUCUACUAAGAGGAUAUGUGCCUUGAAGGGGUCAACAGUGGACCUGUCCUGCUCUUUCACAUAUCCCAGUGGUUACACAGUCACAGCAAGCGGAUGGUAUUACUGGAAAUGGAUCUGGACUAAAAUCCCAGAGUCUACAGGUCGUGUAUCUUACCUUGGGAAUAAGGACAAAGACUGCACCCUGAGAAUCACAGACCUGAGAGAGACUGACUCAACAUUAUAUUACUUCAGUUUUAAAACUGGAUAUUCAUGGACAUCAGGCUCCUCUGUCUACCUGACUGUCACAGAUCUCCAGGUGCAAUUGGGAGAACGAAACAAUAAGAAGACACUGACCUGUAUCACAUCCUGUUCUCUGACUGGUAACCCCACCUACAUCUGGUAUAAGAACGGACAACAGAUAGAUGAGAGCUCCUCCCCCCAGUACAAAGACCCAGUCUCCAGUCAUUCUGUAGACAGUUACUCCUGUUCUGUUAAAGGUCAUGAGGAUCUCCACUCUCCUACAGUGUGCAUCUUUGGACAGUCCUGUAACAGAUUAUUAUACACUAAGAGGAGAAUCUGUGCCUUGAAGGGGUCAUCAGUGGACAUUUCCUGUACUUACGUUGGUCAUUAUCCUGUCACAUCAUCACUGUGGUUUAGUCCUAAACUGAGUGGUUGGUGGAGGGAUAAGUUGAUCCCUGAGGACCUAACCACAGACCCAGGGUAUGCAGGUCGGGUGGAAUAUCCUGACCAAGAGAGUAGAAGAUACAGUGGUCCCUUCACCCUGAGAAUCACAGAUCUGAGAGAGGAGGACUCAGCUGAGUUUUGCUUUACUUUUAAAACGUAUAACUUUGAAUGGGGUCAUAGUUUCCCUGGAACAACUCUGACUGUCUCAGAUCUACAGGUGAAGAUGAGUCCUGCUACAGUGACUGAGGGAGAGACUGUAACACUGACCUGUAUCACAUCCUGUCCUCUGACUGACAACCCCACCUACAUCUGGUACAAGAAUGAACAACCUGUUCAAGAGGACACUUCCAGCUUGUAUGUUCACUACUUCAGUGAAAGAGACAGUUACUCCUGUGGUGUUAAAGGCCAUGAGAACCUCAGAUCUCCUGCAGUGUGUGAGUGUGGACAUCAGUUGCCUUUGGAAGGUAGCGGUUCCACCUUCACAUCAGCCGGUUCCCCUACGACCGGUUCCACAUUCACACCGACCAGAUCCACUACGACCGAUUCCAGCUUCAAAUUGCCCGGUUCCACCACGACCAGUUCCACCUUCACAUGAGCGGUAUCACCAUUACACUGACCAAAUCCACAUUCACACAGACCGGUUCCACCUUGAAUGUUUCCACCUUCACAAUGACCGGAUCCCCUUUCACACCGACCGGUUCCACCACGACCAGUUCCACCUUCAUUCAGAUCGUAUCCACCUCGACCGGUUCCACCUUCACACCAACCAGUUCCACAACGACCGGUUCCACCUUCACACUGACCGGAUCCACUACGACCGAUUCCAGCUUCAAACUACCCGGUUCCACCACGACCAGUUCCACCUUCACAUGAGCGGUUUCACCCUUACACUGACCGAAUCCACAUUCACACAGACCGGUUCCACCUUGAAUGUUUCCACCUUCACAAUGACCGGAUCCCCUUUCACUCCGACCGGUUCCACCAAGACCGGUUCCAGCUUCAAACCGUCGGUUCUACCAUGACUGGUUCCACCUUCACACUGACCAAAUCCACCAUGACCGGUUCCACCUUCACACCGACCUGAUCCACCACUACCGGUUCCACCUUCACACCAAAUGGUUCCACCACGAUCGGUUCCACCUUCACACUGACAGGAUCCACCUUCACAUCGACCGGAUCCAUCUUCACACCAACCGAAUCCACCACGACCAGUUCCACCUUCACACCGACUGGUCCCACCACAACCGGUUCCACCUUCACACCGACCGGUUCCACCACAACUGGUUCCACCUUGACACCAACCGGAACCACCUUCACCCCGUCCAGAUCCACCUCAACCGGUUCCACCUUCACACCAACCGCUUCCACCACAACUGGUUCCACCUUCACACUGACCGGUUCCACCUUCACACCAACCGGUUCCACUUUCCACCAUGCCCCUCAUCACCUGAAUAUUGAUGACCUGUGUUGAGACCAGGCCCUGCUCUGUUUCCAUGUAUAUUCAGUUCAGUUCUCAUUGCUGUUGUGAGGUCAGAAGUGUUGGAGUGUGACUUACACCUCUAGGAGUAUCUGUGCCUUGAAGGGGUCAUCAGUGGACAUACGGUGUUCUUAC